UGCCAUGGCUUCCUGUGUCCCCGGAUCCGACCUCCACCAGUCUGCCGUUGCGCCAAUCAGGGUGCCACCAUCGUGCGGGCCCCGACCCCACACCCCAUGGCGGCCGGAGAUGAUGGCGAGGAAGGGCCGGGUCCCCUGACGAAUCCUCCUCCCUCCAUCACCUGGCGCGCAUGCCUCCCCGCCCACACGCCUCGAUCCCAUCGAACCAACGCCCAGGCCCAGCGUGCGCCACCGCCAUGGACUCCGCCGCGGGGACGGAUCUGGGGAAGAUCGUGGGCGUGUUCUACCAAGCCGAGGACAGGGAGCACAGCCGAUGCCUCCUCGCUCUGCUCGCCACCUUCCUCGCCGUGCUCGACGCCAUGCAAGGUCCGCCUCUCUCUCCUCCUCCUGGUCUCUCUCUGUUGCUUGGUUCGAUUUUGCUGAUGCGGUUUCCUUCCUCCCAUCCCUAAUGCAUGCGCACAGGUGCACUGCCUAGUAGGAGACCACGGCUCCGUCUGCUUCUUCUGUUGCUGUGUGGUCGACGACGACGACUCAGCCGUGCGGUCGGUGCCCUCUGACGCUGCCCGACGCGAUGGCUCCCACCAAGAAGGCGAAGAAGAGCGGGAGAGAACAUCAACAACAAGUUGCAGCUGGUGAUGAAGAGCGGCAAGUACACGCUCAGCUACAAGACCGUCCUCAAGAAGCUGCGCAGCUCCAAGGGUAUGGAUCUUUUUGUCACUCUUGAUUGAUUUAUCGUUGUGGCUGAUCUGCUAGUUCCUUUGUCUGCUGGAUCGGAAGGGUAGUACUAUAACAUACGCUCGGGACUGUGUUAACUCCUGAGAUUCGUGAUUAGCUUUUGUAGAAUGAGGUGGUUAAUAUCUGUUUUGUUGUUGUCAAUUCUUUGUUGUACUUAUUUGUGAGAUAAGCUGAACUGUGUACAUAUUUGCUUCACGUGUGUAGUGAUACCUGCUGAAGUUUGUAGCGUUGAAACUUUUAGUUCGUAGAAUUGGGACUGAUGUUUACCUCAUUGGCUUGCUUUUGCCGUGCCUUAGAGAUGAAUACAGCGCCCUAGAACAAGCCUCCUCUUAAUUAAGACUUCUGUGAGACCUCUUUAAUGUCUAGUGGGCAAUGGGAGGUUGAAAUAUUUCUGUUUGCUGAUAGCAGUUUGUACUGUGUUUUUGGUUGUGUGUUAGAAGUUGUCUUGUGUAGUUUGUACCAAUCAAUUUAGUUUGUAGAGUGUGACACAUUGUUGUUCGUACUGAUCAAAUUUGUUUGUAGAAUGGGACUGAAGUUUACCUCACUAGCUUGCUUUGGCUGUGCCUUAGAGAUGAAUACAGCGCCCUAAAACAAGUCACCUCUUGAAUUGAUACUUCUACAAGACCUCCUCAAUGUCUUGUGGACAGUGGGAGGUUGAAUAUUGGGCAUGCUAAAUGUUGUUGUUCUCUGUGUAGAUAACAUGCUGAAUGUUGAAUGUUGUUCAUGCUCUGAAUACGACAAAAUGAUUGAGCUCUGUUUGAUUAUGCUCUUCUGAGAUUUGCAGGAGUAGUUCAUUUUUGGGACAUGUGUUAGAUAAAUAAUGUGUGUUAAAUCAAGCCUAGCAGAGUACAAUAGACACACUAGAUUGUUUCUGAACGUGUUAAAUCAAAAAUAUGCAUGUGUUACUGUAUCCUAGUAAUUCUGUUGUGUCACUGUAUCCCAGUAAAGCAAGAUGCUUGUUAUACUCAUGUUCCUGAUGAUAUUGGUGUACACUCAAUAUGGUUGUUUCUUCUAGUUCUGCUACUAGUUGAUGUGUACUCCUAGUGUUGUUGUUGCUGUGUAGUAAUACAGAAAUAUUAAUGCUCAAAUAUGAUGAUGUGGCCUGCAGCGCACUUGCUUUGACGUCAACCCGUCCGCCGUCAUCGCCUUUGAGGACAACGAGGACACGGCAGGCGCCGUCGGCCUCAGCGACGGCUUCCACCACUACCACAUCGUCGUCACCUACUAGUUCCAUGACGGCUUCUGUGUCGUCGAGUCCUUCUGCAGCUUCUGCCGCUGUUCCUUCCACAGUUUAGGUGGGACUCGUCGGAUCGGCCUCCUCAUUUCCUAUUUCAGACUUAAAAUUGUGGUGGUUCCUCCUUUACAUAAGCUCAAGUGUGAAGUCGUGAAGUGUGAAGCCGUGAAGUGUGAAGCCGUGAAGUCCAACUCAUUGUAGCAUAUCUGUGUUGUAAAGAUUGUAAUAGAUUUAUUUAGUGGUAUAUUUGAUGAAUUUUAUGUGUUCUUUGUUCUAUUUGAACUAUUGAUUAUGUAUGUGAUUUGAAAACUUGUGAAA
This is a long non-coding RNA of Aegilops tauschii subsp. strangulata, 2287 nucleotides long. RefSeq lists it as uncharacterized. The record is from RefSeq and is a predicted model, not a curated record. Lineage: Eukaryota; Viridiplantae; Streptophyta; Magnoliopsida; Poales; Poaceae.